Molecule: long non-coding RNA, 293 nt
Filed under: Brassica napus (rape)
Lineage: Eukaryota; Viridiplantae; Streptophyta; Magnoliopsida; Brassicales; Brassicaceae
Description: long non-coding RNA (BNAP_LNC024100)
Source: RNAcentral
UUGAUAAUAAAAGAUCUGUAGCAGGUCCGGAGACAUAGGCAACAUUGGCCGAACUCCGUUAACAAUUUUGUGUGUGUUUUCCCGCUCCCAUAAAUUCGGUUUUCUGCAAAAUUUUACCGGGCAUUUCCUAACACUGCCAUCCCUUGACAUAGGUUUAAAUACAUGGACUAAGGUCUCUAAUAAAUCAACAAAAAGAGAAGAAAGGGAAUUAGUAUCUGUAACCAUCGUUUGAGAAACUGCAUUGUUUGUUAAACGUCAUCCAGUUUUUCACUCUAUCUCCAAAUAGAUUGAAA